AAACCGUUCAGGGGUAAACCUGAGAAACCCAAAAGAUCGAAUGGGGAGAUUCAUCGUCAACGGCCGCUGGCUCCCGUUGGUUCGCGAUGCCCCGCAACGGACCCUCGCGGUUCGUGUAGCGUGCGGGCACGCAACCUUCGGCGAUUGUUUCGGCGUCGUAGUCGUGCACUUCUCCCCUAGUAGAACGUCGCGACCCGUUGUGUGUCGGUCUACGGCCCGAGCGGUAGCCUGUCGCUUCGCCUCGUGCGUUCGCGACAGACCCUCGGUCGCCCGGCCGGCUGCACGACGGUACUCGCACGGUAUCGGGCCGCAACCAAUCCAUUCUCGAAUGUGUGUGCGUCAGGCCCGCCGCAAGCUCGGUCAGUUUACCCGGAGGCACGGACCUGGUGCCGUCCCCGGGCCUGGCCAGCUGUUGGCAGGCGGUGUCCUCGGACUGGCCAAGCUUCGAAUUACCGGUCGGCGACGCUAUUGCUUUGGGUACUCUCAGGACCCGUCUUGAAACACGGACCAAGGAGUCUAACAUGUGCGCGAGUCAUUGGGACAAUUAAACCUAAAGGCGCAAUGAAAGUGAAGGUCGUCCUUCGACCGGUUGACCGAGGGAGGAUGGGCCGCGUAACUAUGCGGCCUCGCACUCCCGGGGCGUCUCGUUCUCACUACGAGAAGAGGCGCACCCAGAGCGUACACGUU
RNAcentral lists this ribosomal RNA (687 nucleotides) under Rediviva emdeorum. Its description in RNAcentral is "partial large subunit ribosomal RNA". It matches the Rfam family "Eukaryotic large subunit ribosomal RNA", at positions 402 to 810 of the family's 3401-position model. Lineage: Eukaryota; Metazoa; Arthropoda; Insecta; Hymenoptera; Melittidae. RNAcentral also lists the same sequence under 1 other name. The record is from RNAcentral.